UCAGACACGUCAGAGUUUGAUCCUGGCUCAGGAUGAACGCUAGCUACAGGCUUAACACAUGCAAGUCGAGGGGCAGCAUGAUCGAAGCUUGCUUUGAUUGAUGGCGACCGGCGCACGGGUGCGUAACGCGUAUGUAACCUGCCUGUCAGAAGGGAAUAACCCGGUGAAAGUCGGACUAAUACCCUAUAUGCUCACGAGAGGCACCUGCCUUGGUGAGGAAAGAUUUAUCACUGACAGAUGGACAUGCGUCCCAUUAGCUUGUUGGUAGGGUAACGGCCUACCAAGGCAACGAUGGGUAGGGGAACUGAGAGGUUUAUCCCCCACAUUGGUACUGAGACACGGACCAA
Molecule: ribosomal RNA, 347 nt
Filed under: uncultured bacterium
Lineage: Bacteria
Description: bacterial SSU rRNA
Rfam family: Bacterial small subunit ribosomal RNA
Source: RNAcentral